RNAcentral lists this long non-coding RNA (219 nucleotides) under Homo sapiens (human). Its description in RNAcentral is "HSALNT0397084". The record is from RNAcentral. Lineage: Eukaryota; Metazoa; Chordata; Mammalia; Primates; Hominidae.
AGUAGCUCAGCAGGCAGAGCUGAAUGUUCAGUCAAGCCUAAUCAAAGCUUAGUCUUUCUGGGGACCAGCUGCUAUCCAGACACUCCCAGGAAAUGACUCUCAAAGAGCCACCUCACUAGCACUAAUGCAGAUGGAGUCUCACUCUGUAGCCCAGGCUGGAGUGUAGUGGCACAAUCAUGGCUCACCGCAACCUCUGCCUGCUAGGUUCAAAUGAUUUUC